Molecule: ribosomal RNA, 496 nt
Filed under: uncultured bacterium
Lineage: Bacteria
Description: bacterial SSU rRNA
Rfam family: Bacterial small subunit ribosomal RNA
Source: RNAcentral
GAUCAUGGCUCAGAUUGAACGCUGGCGGCAUGCCUUACACAUGCAAGUCGAACGGUAACGCGGGGGCAACCUGGCGACGAGUGGCGAACGGGUGAGUAACGCAUCGGAACGUGCCCAAUAGUGGGGGAUAGCCCGGCGAAAGCCGGAUUAAUACCGCAUAAGACCUGAGGGUGAAAGCGGGGGACCGCAAGGCCUCGCGCGAGAAGAUGAGCCGAUGUCCGAUUAGCUAGUUGGUGAGGUAAAGGCUCACCAAGGCGACGAUCGGUAGCUGGUCUGAGAGGAUGAUCAGCCACACUGGAACUGAGACACGGUCCAGACUCCUACGGGAGGCAGCAGUGGGGAAUUUUGGACAAUGGACGCAAGUCUGAUCCAGCCAUUCCGCGUGCAGGAUGAAGGCCCUCGGGUUGUAAACUGCUUUUGUACGGAACGAAAAGGUUUCUAUUAAUACUAGGAGCUCAUGACGGUACCGUAAGAAUAAGCACCGGCUAACUACGUG